GGGGGGUUUAUAAUGUUACGAUAUAUGUAUAUACAUAAGCUAAAAUCCUGCAUGGUUAAUAAUAUUGCAUAAAGAAUGUUAAUAUAUAUUCUGUAUACAUUUCUCAAUUAUUAUUGUCAUAUAUCACAUGAAAUAAAAGAAUACACGUCAUAUUAUGAAUAAAAAACACUAAUAGAUAAAUAUUGAGUCAUCGUUUUGAAGUUUUAGCCAUUUCAUCAGUUAUCAACAAUGGGUCAACAUAAAUAUCCUGGUGUAUGUUGAGGACUGCCCAUCCAUUUAGUCUCAUUUGACCAGUAGUAUUUCUGAUAUAAUUUUUAAGUCGACACAAGGAAGAAAAAGACCUCUUUCCAGUAGCUGUUGUGACUGGUAGUGUAUUUAAUAUUUGCAAUAACUUUGAGAUUACAGGAAAAAAAUCAGGAUUACAGAGGAAAAACAGUUCUGUUGUUGUUAUUUGUUAACGACGAAUUUGGUGAUUUGAAUGCGCAACUGUUAUACCACAGUUUAAGUUCAGCAUAACCUACUUCUAAGCUAGUCAAAUUGUUGCUGUUACUUAAUAAUUCAGUAUAAAAAUUGAACAUAAUAUUUUGAAGUCCUCAAAAGUUUCUUCAGAUAUUUGUUUGCUAGUAUUAGGUAAUAAGCGGUUGAAGCUUUUUAGUUUGGCCGUAUGUUCAAGAAAUCGUCUAUGGAGUUGUUCAAUAAAAUUAACAAGAACUGAUAUGAGUAUUGAGACUAUAAUAUUCUGUUGGAUUAUUAUUCAUAAUAUUUCUCCUAUUUUUUUUGUCGACCUGUUGUUCUUGGAACACUAACAGUUAUACCAAAAACAGAACAGACAUCUUCAACUUUUUAAAUAAAUUAUCAAACUCAACAUCAGCUUUUUGGUGGAUUUGUUUUAUAGUUGAUUGUGUCAUAUCAGCAAAUUCUAGAGCAGGUUCUAAAUUUAGUUUUCAGUUUGAAGAAAUUUGCUCAAAGGAGCAGUAUUGCAAAUGCUUUUACUAAUAUGAAUAAGGCUAACCAAAACAAACAGCUAAUGGCCAUAGUUGCCGGGCUUCACGAACAAUAAAAAAAAAAAAAAUUAAAACUUUAUAUUUUUAUAAUUAUUAUUUUCCAGAUGAUUUGGUCGGUAAGAAACAUUUUUUGUGUUUUUUAUUUCAUUGAUAUUUAUAAUUUAUUGUUGUUUGAAAGUUUCUUGAUGGAUUUAUAUAGGCAAUAUUUUUCUUCUGACAUAAUUGUUUGUUAAUCAAUUGGUAAUCAUAAGAAACUACUUUAAAUCUGUAAUACUGUAUAAAGUCUAAAAAUUAUAGACGAGGGUGUUUUUUCCCAUAUACAUAGUUAUUAGGACAGCUACUCUGUGUGUAGCUAUAAUUUCUUGGGUUAAUUAGAAAAAAAUAUGCAAAUGCAUCAAGGUUGGGUUAAUAAAUCAUUAAUAAAUCAUUAGGUAAUUAUAAAUAAACUAUCCAAUUACUAUACAAAUUAUGAUCAAAUUUAGAUUGGUUUUUUAUUUCUACCAAAAUCUACUCAUUUUCUAAGUACCUGCCAAACAUUCUGUAAAUGUAUUGAGAACUUUUCAAACAAAUUAAAAAUGUUCCUCUUUAAUCAUAACAACAUAUUACAAAUGUUCUAUAAUUUAUAAAUGGAAUUUAAUUCUAGCUAAAAUAGGUAAAUUCUUUUUUAUUUUUAAUAAUUAGUUUUUUUAUACUAUACUUAUAUUAGAUGAAUCUUACAUGUUUAUAAUUUAUAUAGCUUAAGACUACAAUAUUUAUAUUAUCCAUUAAUGCAUGUUCUUAUAGUAGAACAAUACCUAUUAUAAACAUUUUAUAAUAUUAAUGACUACAUUUUUUUUUUAUUUCAGUAUCAAAAGAUGACAGAGGUACGUGCAUAUUGAAUUAACUGUAUUUUUUAAUUUGCUUAAUUUUUUGUGAUUUGUGCCUCAAAACUUAUUUAAUGAUAGUCAAUGGUCAUCAUACAACUUUUACUUACUCACUGAGUACCAUUAUAGCUAUGAAUCCGUUUAGUUGUCAAACCGUCAUCCAUUUAUUGGGUGUUACUGUUACUAUCAUUGUAAAGACUAAAGAUAGACCUAUACAAUAGGUAUUGUAUAAAACGUUGACUCAAACUAUAUAAAAAUCAUUCAACUUACAUAUAAACGUGGUAUCCGGUAGGUCCAUAAUAUCACAUUUAUAACAAAUCAUAAUUAUAAUUAUUUCAUUUUUUUUUUUAGAAAAAGUAUCGAAGAACGUUAUAGAACUAUUCAACGAAUUCGAAAUUGAAGGGGAAUAUAAAACACCUUUAAAGUUCUGCAGGAAUGAAGUUACAAACAAUAUCGAAACGUUUAUUAAGAAAAUUUUUACAAUUAAUGACGUAUAGACAGAAGGUUAAUCAUUUUUUAUGAUCAUCUUAUGAUUUUAUUUAUAUAUAUAUUAUACUACUAUAAUAAUUCAUACUAAAAUAAAUGCGAUGUUUACGGCAAAAAAUAAUUCAACAUCAUAUUAUAACACAUAUAUUACUAAUAGUAGUACUUACCUAUUAUAAAUUAAUAAUAUAUCAUUAAAUAAUAUUAUAUAUUA
Molecule: long non-coding RNA, 2564 nt
Organism: Metopolophium dirhodum (rose-grain aphid)
Lineage: Eukaryota; Metazoa; Arthropoda; Insecta; Hemiptera; Aphididae
Exons: 4
Source: RefSeq, a predicted model, not a curated record